RNAcentral lists this ribosomal RNA (500 nucleotides) under uncultured bacterium. RNAcentral's name for it is "partial 16S ribosomal RNA". It matches the Rfam family "Bacterial small subunit ribosomal RNA", at positions 30 to 523 of the family's 1533-position model. The record is from RNAcentral.
AUUGAACGCUGGCGGCAUGCCUUACACAUGCAAGUCGAACGGCAGCACGGGAGCAAUCCUGGUGGCGAGUGGCGAACGGGUGAGUAAAGUAUCGGAACGUGCCCAGUCGUGGGGGAUAACGUAGCGAAAGUUACGCUAAUACCGCAUACGAUCUAUGGAUGAAAGCGGGGGAUCGCAAGACCUCGCGCGAUUGGAGCGGCCGAUAUCAGAUUAGGUAGUUGGUGGGGUAAAGGCUCACCAAGCCGACGAUCUGUAGCUGGUCUGAGAGGACGACCAGACACACUGGGACUGAAACACGGCCCAGACGCCAACGGGAGGCAGCAGUGGGGAAUUUUGGACAAAGGGCGCAAGCCUGAUCCAGCCAUGCCGCUUGCAGGAUGAAGGCCUUCGGGUUGUAAACUGCUUUUGUACGGAACGAAAAGGUUUGACUUAAUACGUUGGACUCAUGACGGUACCGUAAGAAUAAGCACCGGCUAACUACGUGCCAGCCGCCGCCGUAA